AUUGAACGCUGGCGGCAUGCUUUACACAUGCAAGUCGAACGGUAGGGUAGCAAUACCUGAGAGUGGCGAACGGUGAGUAAUGCAUCGGAACAUGCCUAUUAGUGGGGGAUAGCCCGGCGAAAGCCGGAUUAAUACCGCAUACGAUCUAAGGAUGAAAGCAGGGGACCGCAAGGCCUUGCGCUAAUGGAGUGGCCGAUGUCAGAUUAGCUAGUUGGUGGGGUAAAGGCUCACCAAUGCGACGACCUGUAGCUGGUUUGAGAGAACGACCAGCCACACUGGGACUGAGACACGGCCCAGACUCCUACGGGAGGCAGCAGUGGGGAAUUUUGGACAAUGGGCGCAAGCCUGAUCCAGCAAUGCCGCGUGCAGGAUGAAGGCCUUCGGUUGUAAACUGCUUUGUACGGAAUGAAACGGCCUUGGCUAAUACCUGGGCUAAUGACGGUACCGUAAGAAUAAGCACCGGCUAACUACGUAGCCAGCAGCCGCGGUAAU
This 492-nucleotide ribosomal RNA is filed under the name uncultured bacterium. RNAcentral describes it as "bacterial SSU rRNA". It matches the Rfam family "Bacterial small subunit ribosomal RNA", at positions 30 to 524 of the family's 1533-position model. The record is from RNAcentral.